RNAcentral lists this ribosomal RNA (485 nucleotides) under uncultured Sphingobacteriales bacterium. RNAcentral's name for it is "bacterial SSU rRNA". It matches the Rfam family "Bacterial small subunit ribosomal RNA", at positions 898 to 1382 of the family's 1533-position model. Lineage: Bacteria; Pseudomonadati; Bacteroidota; Sphingobacteriia; Sphingobacteriales. The record is from RNAcentral.
AACUUAAAGGAAUUGACGGGGGCCCGCACAAGCGGAGGAGCAUGUGGUUUAAUUCGAUGAUACGCGAGGAACCUUACCUGGGCUCGAACGUAAGAUGACUGUAGGUGAAAGCUUACAUCUCUUCGGAGCAUUUUUACGAGGUGCUGCAUGGUUGUCGUCAGCUCGUGCCGUGAGGUGUCGGGUUAAGUCCCAUAACGAGCGCAACCCCUACCUUUAGUUGCCAUCAGGUUAAGCUGGGGACUCUAAAGGAACUGCCUACGCAAGUAGUGAGGAAGGCGGGGAUGACGUCAAAUCAGCACGGCCCUUACGUCCAGGGCUACACACGUGCUACAAUGGCCGGUACAAAGGGCAGCUACCUGGUGACAGGAUGCUAAUCUCAAAAGCCGGUCUCAGUUCGGAUCGGAGUCUGCAACCCGACUCCGUGAAGUUGGAUUCGCUAGUAAUCGCGCAUCAGCCAUGGCGCGGUGAAUACGUUCCCGGGCCUU